Molecule: ribosomal RNA, 119 nt
Filed under: Nelumbo nucifera (sacred lotus)
Lineage: Eukaryota; Viridiplantae; Streptophyta; Magnoliopsida; Proteales; Nelumbonaceae
Source: RNAcentral
GGGUGCGAUCAUACCAGCCCUAAUGCACCAGAUCCCACCAGAACUCUGAAGUUAAUCCUGCUUGGGCGAGAGUAGUACUAGCAUGGGUGACCUUUUAGGAAGUCCUCGUGUUGCUCCCC